AGGCUGAUGUAAUAACAAUGAUUUCAUGGUGUUGGGAGUAAGAAUUGGAGAUCUGAUACUGCUAACAUGUUGGUUAGCAUCACAGCUUGUCCAUAGGGAUACUGGCUGGGGUAGCAUUUGGAUCUGUUUCAAGAUGAGAAUAUAUUUAUUCAUCCACAUACAAAUUUAAUCAAUUGAUGAAAUCUUGUGGACAGUUUAACUUUCUAUAAAUCUUUAUUGUUUGCAAUUUAUAUCUCUUGAUAUUUUCUACUGUUACCUUAAUAGAUGUAAACAGAUAUUUUUAUAGUUGAGAAGGUUUAUAGUCCUUUUUAACUACUUUCACUUAUUCCAUCUUUAAACUUUUGCCAAAUGACCAUGUACUGAAUCAUAAAGAGAAUCAUUGUUUUUAUGAUAAUAAAGAAUUUUGUUUACUUGUAAAGGGGAGAUACCCUCACAUUCAUUUGCAAGUGCUGUUACAAAGAUAAGAUGUCUUAAUUAUAUUAAACUUUGCUUCUUAUUCAGUUUUGUAUUUCUUUCAAUACAAAUUUCCAAAGAAUUCAUUUCUUCAGUCAAUAUAUGGAGAAACAAAGUAAAUGUCAUAAAACUUGAACUAAACAAUGAAAGUUUAUCAAAAUAGCCUGAAUUAUUUUACCAUGUAUGUACAUUUUUCAAAUUUUCAGCUUAAGAACUUCUGCAAUUGUCUGAAACUCAAUGAAUGAUUAAUGCGAUACUGGUAAUAGUAAUUUUAACACCUUGAAAAUCAAAAUUGGUAUAUUAAGAUUGCUUUCCAUUUUAUAACAAAUUUAGCUGCAUGAUUUCUAUUGCAAUAUUUUUUGGUUAAUCAAUAAAUUUGAAUAGAAAACAAGUAUUUUUACAUACAACAAUAUCUGUCUAUUUAAAAGAAAAAUUGCCACUCAAAUAUUUAAACAUUACGUAAUUCAUAUAUUUUAACACUACUUAAUAACUUUGAAUUGUCAACAAAUGAAAUAUUAUUUUAUUCCUUUUACAGGUGUGUUCCUGCUGCUGCCUUGUGUGUUCAAUCCUGUGGACAAUAAUAAUCAUGCAAACCACAUAUAUGUUGCAUUUUUGUUUAUUAAAAUCCUUAAGUGAUAAUUCUGAAAGCCAAAUGAUUAAUUUUUUAAUGCUAUUAUUUAUUUUCCAUUUACUGUAAACUCACAAAUUUUUGUUUUUUAAUGCUGUUAUUUAUUUUCCAAUUAUUGAAAAUUCACAGAUUUUUGAUAUAUUUUUUUUACUGAAAAUUGCUACACCGAGAUAGAUUUUGCAAAAAUAAAAUUAUAUUUUAAAUUUUGAUAGCAUUAUUUAUUUGCAACAUGUCCUUAAUGACAAUAAUUAAUUUAAAUAAAUGCUUGCAAAUUUUUUUUGAAUUUACAGUAUAAAUAUGUUUUCAUUAUUUAUAUAUGCAUGAUAUUAUUAUACAUUGUAUUUUGCUUUAUAAUAAACCAAAUUGUAUAA
Mytilus californianus (California mussel) is the source of this 1452-nucleotide long non-coding RNA. RefSeq lists it as uncharacterized. The transcript is spliced from 2 exons. The record is from RefSeq and is a predicted model, not a curated record. Lineage: Eukaryota; Metazoa; Mollusca; Bivalvia; Mytilida; Mytilidae.